RNAcentral lists this ribosomal RNA (448 nucleotides) under uncultured bacterium. Its description in RNAcentral is "bacterial SSU rRNA". It matches the Rfam family "Bacterial small subunit ribosomal RNA", at positions 53 to 518 of the family's 1533-position model. The record is from RNAcentral.
ACAUGCAAGUCGAACGGAGAUAUUUGGUUUACUGAGAUAUCUAGUGGCGGACGGGUGAGUAACACGUGAGCAACCUACCUUAGAGAGAGGGAUAGCUUCUGGAAACGGAUGGUAAUACCUCAUGACAUACAGAGACCGCAUGAUCUUUGUAUCAAAGAUUUAUCACUCUGAGAUGGGCUCGCGUCUGAUUAGAUAGUUGGUGAGGUAACGGCUCACCAAGUCGACGAUCAGUAGCCGGACUGAGAGGUUGAACGGCCACAUUGGGACUGAGACACGGCCCAGACUCCUACGGGAGGCAGCAGUGGGGAAUAUUGCACAAUGGGGGAAACCCUGAUGCAGCGAUGCCGCGUGGAGGAAGAAGGUUUUCGGAUUGUAAACUCCUGUCUUAAAGGACGAUAAUGACGGUACUUUAGGAGGAAGCUCCGGCUAACUACGUGCCAGCCGCAGC